Molecule: ribosomal RNA, 482 nt
Filed under: uncultured bacterium
Lineage: Bacteria
Description: partial 16S ribosomal RNA
Rfam family: Bacterial small subunit ribosomal RNA
Source: RNAcentral
AUUGAACGCUGGCGGCAUGCUUUACACAUGUAAGUCGAACGGUAACAGGCCGCAAGGUGCUGACGAGUGGCGAACGGGUGAGUAAUGCAUCGGAACGUGCCCAGUCGUGGGGGAUAACUACUCGAAAGAGUAGCUAAUACCGCAUACGAUCUAUGGAUGAAAGCGGGGGACCGUAAGGCCUCGCGCGAUUGGAGCGGCCGAUGUCAGAUUAGGUAGUUGGUGGGGUAAAGGCUCACCAAGCCAACGAUCUGUAGCUGGUCUGAGAGGACAACCAGCCACACUGGGACUGAGACACGGCCCAGACUCCUACGGGAGGCAGCAGUGGGGAAUUUUGGACAAUGGGCGCAAGCCUGAUCCAGCAAUGCCGCGUGCAGGAAGAAGGCCUUCGGGUUGUAAACUGCUUUUGUACGGAACGAAACGGCUCUGGUUAAUACCCGGGGCUAAUGACGGUACCGUAAGAAUAAGCACCGGCUAACUACGUG